RNAcentral lists this ribosomal RNA (484 nucleotides) under uncultured bacterium. Its description in RNAcentral is "partial 16S ribosomal RNA". It matches the Rfam family "Bacterial small subunit ribosomal RNA", at positions 30 to 507 of the family's 1533-position model. The record is from RNAcentral.
AUUGAACGCUGGCGGCAGGCCUAACACAUGCAAGUCGAGCGGGUGAAGGGAGCUUGCUCCUGGAUUCAGCGGCGGACGGGUGAGUAAUGCCUAGGAAUCUGCCUGGUAGUGGGGGAUAACGUCCGGAAACGGGCGCUAAUACCGCAUACGUCCUGAGGGAGAAAGUGGGGGAUCUUCGGACCUCACGCUAUCAGAUGAGCCUAGGUCGGAUUAGCUAGUUGGUGGGGUAAAGGCCUACCAAGGCGACGAUCCGUAACUGGUCUGAGAGGAUGAUCAGUCACACUGGAACUGAGACACGGUCCAGACUCCUACGGGAGGCAGCAGUGGGGAAUAUUGGACAAUGGGCGAAAGCCUGAUCCAGCCAUGCCGCGUGUGUGAAGAAGGUCUUCGGAUUGUAAAGCACUUUAAGUUGGGAGGAAGGGCAGUAAGUUAAUACCUUGCUGUUUCGACGUUACCAACAGAAUAAGCACCGGCUAACUUCGUG